RNAcentral lists this ribosomal RNA (474 nucleotides) under Streptococcus infantis. Its description in RNAcentral is "bacterial SSU rRNA". It matches the Rfam family "Bacterial small subunit ribosomal RNA", at positions 28 to 485 of the family's 1533-position model. Lineage: Bacteria; Bacillati; Bacillota; Bacilli; Lactobacillales; Streptococcaceae. The record is from RNAcentral.
GACGAACGCUGGCGGCGUGCCUAAUACAUGCAAGUAGAACGCUGAAGGAAGGAGCUUGCUCUUUCCGGAUGAGUUGCGAACGGGUGAGUAACGCGUAGGUAACCUGCCUGGUAGCGGGGGAUAACUAUUGGAAACGAUAGCUAAUACCGCAUAACAGUAGAUAUCGCAUGAUAUUUGCUUGAAAGGUGCAAUUGCACCACUACCAGAUGGACCUGCGUUGUAUUAGCUAGUUGGUGAGGUAACGGCUCACCAAGGCAACGAUACAUAGCCGACCUGAGAGGGUGAUCGGCCACACUGGGACUGAGACACGGCCCAGACUCCUACGGGAGGCAGCAGUAGGGAAUCUUCGGCAAUGGACGGAAGUCUGACCGAGCAACGCCGCGUGAGUGAAGAAGGUUUUCGGAUCGUAAAGCUCUGUUGUAAGAGAAGAACGAGUGUGAGAGUGGAAAGUUCACACUGUGACGGUAUCUACCA